Pteropus vampyrus (large flying fox) is the source of this 128-nucleotide ribosomal RNA. Lineage: Eukaryota; Metazoa; Chordata; Mammalia; Chiroptera; Pteropodidae. The record is from Ensembl.
GUCUACGGCCAUGCCACCCUGAACAAGCCCAAUCCCGUCUGAUCUCGGAAGCUAAGCAGGGUCGAGCCUGGUUAGUACCUGGAUGGGAGACCACCCAGGAAGGCGUAAAAAAUAAGAGAUUGUAAGCU